UGAGUAAUGCCUGGNAAAUUGCCCAGUCGAGGGGGAUAACAGUUGGAAACGACUGCUAAUACCGCAUACNCCCUACGGGGGAAAGCAGGGGACCUUCGGGCCUUGCGCGAUUGGAUAUGCCCAGGUGGGAUUAGCUAGUUGGUGAGGUAAUGGCUCACCAAGGCGACGAUCCCUAGCUGGNCUGAGAGGAUGAUCAGCCACACUGGAACUGAGACACGGUCCAGACUCCUACGGGAGGCAGCAGUGGGGAAUAUUGCACAAUGGGGGAAACCCUGAUGCAGCCAUGCCGCGUGUGUGAAGAAGGCCUUCGGGUUGUAAAGCACUUUCAGCGAGGAGGAAAGGUCAGUAGCUAAUAUCUGCUGGCUGUGACGUUACUCGCA
This 380-nucleotide ribosomal RNA is filed under the name unidentified microorganism. Its description in RNAcentral is "bacterial SSU rRNA". It matches the Rfam family "Bacterial small subunit ribosomal RNA", at positions 107 to 483 of the family's 1533-position model. The record is from RNAcentral.